RNAcentral lists this ribosomal RNA (492 nucleotides) under uncultured bacterium. RNAcentral describes it as "partial 16S ribosomal RNA". It matches the Rfam family "Bacterial small subunit ribosomal RNA", at positions 29 to 507 of the family's 1533-position model. The record is from RNAcentral.
AGUGAACGCUGGCGGUAGGCCUAACACAUGCAAGUCGAACGGCAGCACAGUAAGAGCUUGCUCUUACGGGUGGCGAGUGGCGGACGGGUGAGGAAUACAUCGGAAUCUACUUUUUCGUGGGGGAUAACGUAGGGAAACUUACGCUAAUACCGCAUACGACGUACGGGUGAAAGCAGGGGAUCUUCGGACCUUGCGCGAUUGAAUGAGCCGAUGUCGGAUUAGCUAGUUGGCGGGGUAAAGGCCCACCAAGGCGACGAUCCGUAGCUGGUCUGAGAGGAUGAUCAGCCACACUGGAACUGAGACACGGUCCAGACUCCUACGGGAGGCAGCAGUGGGGAAUAUUGGACAAUGGGCGCAAGCCUGAUCCAGCCAUACCGCGUGGGUGAAGAAGGCCUUCGGGUUGUAAAGCCCUUUUGUUGGGAAAGAAAAGCAGCAGGUUAAUACCCCGCUGUUCUGACGGUACCCAAAGAAUAAGCACCGGCUAACUUCGUG